This 131-nucleotide small RNA is filed under the name uncultured Acetatifactor sp. RNAcentral describes it as "Clostridiales-1 RNA". It matches the Rfam family "Clostridiales-1 RNA", at positions 26 to 159 of the family's 166-position model. Lineage: Bacteria; Bacillati; Bacillota; Clostridia; Lachnospirales; Lachnospiraceae. The record is from RNAcentral.
UUACGAGACUGCUUGCAGGCAGAGUAAUCUGUCUAUUAGCGGAUCAAACAUACAUGAGCAAGUAGGGCGAUAGCCCGGAAUGCGAAUGUAUGUGCCGGAUUCGGGAGCGCAGAGCGCGGAGAAGCCGGUUA